AUUCCAGCUCCAAUAGCGUAUAUUAAAGUUGUUGCGGUUAAAAAGCUCGUAGUUGGAUUUCUGCAUGGAAGGAGCGGUCCACCCUUUGGGUGAGUUACUGCUACCUUUUGUGCAUCUUCCUGAGAAGGCGUUCUUCACUUCAUUGUGAGGCCGCAUGACUCAGGACGUUUACUUUGAGGAAAUGAGAGUGUUUCAAGCAGGCAAAUGCCUUGAAUACGUUAGCAUGGAAUAAUAGCAUCGGACCAUCGUCCAGCUGUUGGUGUCUGGGCGAAGGUAAAGGUGAAUAGGGAUUGUUGGGGGCAUUCGUAUUUAACUGUCAGAGGUGAAAUUCUCGGAUUUGUUAAAGACGGACUACUGCGAAAGCAUUUGCCAAGGAUGUUUUCAUCG
RNAcentral lists this ribosomal RNA (387 nucleotides) under Syndiniales sp. RNAcentral describes it as "partial small subunit ribosomal RNA". It matches the Rfam family "Eukaryotic small subunit ribosomal RNA", at positions 582 to 975 of the family's 1831-position model. Lineage: Eukaryota; Dinophyceae; Syndiniales. The record is from RNAcentral.